Molecule: small RNA, 525 nt
Filed under: Caenorhabditis elegans
Lineage: Eukaryota; Metazoa; Nematoda; Chromadorea; Rhabditida; Rhabditidae
Description: Unclassified non-coding RNA C34E7.9
Source: RNAcentral
GGCUGUAAGGAUGUACUCCGCUACACCACCUUCUCAGCCUCAACCAAAGCAAUCGCGGCAACAACAGUACCCUUCUCAACAGCCACCGGCCUACAACUACCCUCAUCAAGGAUAUGGCCAAAUGGGACAAAUGGGACAUGGAAGUUUGCCGAUGGAUACUCGAGGAAUUCAGCAGCAGCCGCAAAAUAUGGGAACAAUGAUGGGACGGCAAGUUCCACUGCAGCAACAAGCUGCCGCCGGGCAAAUGAAUGCCCAUGGAAUGCCUAUGGAUAACCGAUCUAUGAACAGUGGCCAGAUGCAGCAUUUGGAUAACCGCAUGGGAUCUCAACAAAUGACGACUAAUCAAAGACCGAUGGGAAUGGAAAGUCACAAUAUGGGCCAGCUAGGAAACAAUCAAAUGGGAUCCAUGGGAAGCAUGAACAGCUCAAUGAGCAACUCCAUGGCGUCUAUGGGCGGUAUGAUGAGUGAUCGGACGAUGGGUACUCAGCAACAUCAAAUGAUGGGACAACAUCAACAACAACAAUC